This 693-nucleotide unclassified non-coding RNA is filed under the name Hevea brasiliensis (rubber tree). Lineage: Eukaryota; Viridiplantae; Streptophyta; Magnoliopsida; Malpighiales; Euphorbiaceae. The record is from RNAcentral.
GAAAGAAAGAAAGAAAGGAAGAAACAAUGCUGCUUUAGAAGAAGUUUUAUGCAAUACCAACUUAGAUGUGUUCUGUCUAGAGCUACUGGAGUGAAAGCAUUCCUAUAGUAGUAGCACAAUACAAAAAUGUUAUAUCUUUAUCUAUUCAAGAGGAGUUGGCCAAAACAUUAUCUUCUAAAUUCUAAUUUGGGGGCCAAUACUUCUUUGAUGCUUAUAGAUGAAAAAUAGGAAGACUGAUUUUGAAGAGGAGUAUAAAGAGGAUGAAGAAGAGAACCUUGGAAGUGAUGGAUUUGAAUUUGAUGUUGAUGGAGAUUAUGUUACUCUUCAUGAUGAGUUGGCUGUGUUAUAGUUGUUUUAGGUAUUAUUGCCAUUUAGAUAAUGUACAUUAUGAUUUAAGACUCUUGAACAUCUUUAGUUUUAUUUUGUAUUUGCAUUUGCAUUUCAAAAACAUUGGUACUAGAAUUUUGAAUUUUUAUAUUAUUAAUGGAUAGUUGUCUUCAAUAAGAUUAAAUGUCAUGUGCUCUUCACUUCUCUUAAGCAAGUGCAUUGUGCUUUCAAUAACUAUUGAGUUAAUCUAAUCUUUUAUAUAAAGAGGAAGGGCUACGCCCAUUUUUGUAUCCAAAGGCCUGUUGGGCCUCCCAGUGGAACAAGGGGGAGAGAGGCUGAAACCCUUUGCUACUUCUGACUUGAGGA